GCCUCAUCUGCAGCCAAUGCCUUCUUGCUGAUGAUCCGGUAGAUCUCAGUGAGCACUGUCUGAAAAGCUUUAUCCACAUUCGUCGCGUCGAGCGCCGAGGUCUCGACGAAGGAUAGGCCCUCCCUCUCUGCAAAGCUUGUUGCGUCCUCCAAGGACACUGACCGGAGAUGCUUGAGGUCGAUCUUGUUGCCGAUGAGCAUGACGACGAUGUUGGAGUCGGCAUGGUCACGGAGCUCCUUGAGCCACCUCUUCACAUUCUCAAAAGUUGUGGCCUUUGUGACAUCAUAGACUAGCAAUGCUCCCACUGCGCCGCGGUAGUAUGCGCUUGUGAUGGCCCGGUACCGUUCUUGCCCGGCUGUGUCCCAUAUCUAAGCUAGCACUAGCAGGCAUGGUGACCUGGAUGGUGCGGGUGGCGAACUCGACGCCGAUGGUGGACUUGGAGUCGAGGGAGAAGCUGUUGCGGGUGAAGCGGGAGAGGAGGUUCGACUUCCCCACGCCGGAGUCCCCGAUCAGCACGAUCUUGAACAGGUAGUCGUACUCGUCGCCGCCCUGCUCCC
This 557-nucleotide small RNA is filed under the name Oryza sativa Japonica Group (Japanese rice). Its description in RNAcentral is "sRNA Os03g0843150". Lineage: Eukaryota; Viridiplantae; Streptophyta; Magnoliopsida; Poales; Poaceae. The record is from RNAcentral.